This 437-nucleotide ribosomal RNA is filed under the name uncultured bacterium. RNAcentral describes it as "bacterial SSU rRNA". It matches the Rfam family "Bacterial small subunit ribosomal RNA", at positions 8 to 477 of the family's 1533-position model. The record is from RNAcentral.
AGAGUUUGAUCCUGGCUCAGAAUCAACGCUGGCGGCGUGCCUAACACAUGCAAGUCGAACGAGAAAGUGGAGCAAUCCAUGAGUAAAGUGGCGACCGGGUGAGUAACACGUGACUAACCUACCUUCGAGUGGGGGAUAACCUCGGGAAACCGAGGCUAAUACCGCAUAACAUCGCAAGAUCAAAGCAGCAAUGCGCUUGAAGAGGGGGUCGCGGCUGAUUAGCUAGUUGGCGGGGUAACGGCCCACCAAGGCGAAGAUCGGUAUCCGGCCUGAGAGGGCGCACGGACACACUGGAACUGAAACACGGUCCAGACUCCUACGGGAGGCAGCAGUGGGGAAUUUUGCGCAAUGGGGGAAACCCUGACGCAGCAACGCCGCGUGGAGGAUGAAGCCCCUUGGGGCGUAAACUCCUUUCGACCAAGACGAUAAUGACGGUA